RNAcentral lists this ribosomal RNA (416 nucleotides) under uncultured bacterium. Its description in RNAcentral is "bacterial SSU rRNA". It matches the Rfam family "Bacterial small subunit ribosomal RNA", at positions 507 to 921 of the family's 1533-position model. The record is from RNAcentral.
GCCAGCAGCCGCGGUAAGACGUAGGACGCAAGCGUUAUCCGGAUUUACUGGGCGUAAAGCGCGUGUAGGUGGUUUGGUAAGUAGGGCGUGAAAGCUCCUGGCUCAACUAGGAAAGGUCGUUCUAAACUGCCAAACUUGAGGAUGGUAAAGGGGGGUGGAAUUCCGGGUGUAGUAGUGAAAUGCGCAAAUAUUCGGAGGAACACCAGUGGCGAAAGCGGCCUCCUGGACCACACCUGACACUCAAACGCGAAAGCUAGGGUAGCAAACGGGAUUAGAGACCCCGGUAGUCCUAGCCGUAAACGAUGUAGACUUGACGUUGGUGGUUUAAUAUCCAUCAGUGUCGUAGCUAACGCGAUAAGUCUACCCCCUGGGGACUACGGCCGCAAGGUUAAAACUCAAAGGAAUUGACGGGGCCC